AACGCACGAGACCUGCGGACCUGCGGAGGGAUCAUUAGAGAGUGUUAUAACUCCCAAACCCAUGUGAACAUACCUCUCGUUGCCUCGGCGGAGAGAGGGACCGCCCAUCAAAAGACUUACCCGGGUCUUCUGACCUGGGAGGCCGGGUACCCUCCCGCCGCCGCCGGCCCGCGAAACUCUUUUAUUUUGGAACUCUGAAUCAUAAAGCAAAUAAGUUAAAACUUUCAACAAUGGAUCUCU
RNAcentral lists this unclassified non-coding RNA (240 nucleotides) under soil metagenome. Its description in RNAcentral is "partial contains 5.8S ribosomal RNA, internal transcribed spacer 2, and large subunit ribosomal RNA". The record is from RNAcentral.